GGGGUUGUGGCUCAGUGGUAGAGCGUUUACCUAGCAUGCAUGAGGCACUGGGUUCAAUCCCCAGCACCACA
This 71-nucleotide transfer RNA is filed under the name Marmota monax (woodchuck). RNAcentral describes it as "tRNA.Ala". It matches the Rfam family "tRNA". Rfam says of the family: Transfer RNA (tRNA) molecules are approximately 80 nucleotides in length. Their secondary structure includes four short double-helical elements and three loops (D, anti-codon, and T loops). Further hydrogen bonds mediate the characteristic L-shaped molecular structure. tRNAs have two regions of fundamental functional importance: the anti-codon, which is responsible for specific mRNA codon recognition, and the 3' end, to which the tRNAs corresponding amino acid is attached (by aminoacyl-tRNA synthetases). tRNAs cope with the degeneracy of the genetic code in two manners: having more than one tRNA (with a specific anti-codon) for a particular amino acid; and 'wobble' base-pairing, i.e. permitting non-standard base-pairing at the 3rd anti-codon position. The record is from RNAcentral. Lineage: Eukaryota; Metazoa; Chordata; Mammalia; Rodentia; Sciuridae.